CCUACGGGUGACAGCAGUGAGGAAUAUUGGUCAAUGGGCGCGAGCCUGAACCAGCCAAGUCGCGUGAAUGAUGACUGCCCUACGGGUUGUAAGCUUCUUUUGUGAAGGAAUAAGUUGAGGCACGUGUGCCUUUUUGUAUGUACUUUAUGAAUAGGAAUCGGCUAACUCCGUGCCAGCAGCCGCGGUAAUACGGAGGGUCCGAGCGUUGUCCGGAUUUAUUGGGUUGAAAGGGAGCGUAGAGGGGUUGUUAAGUCAGUUGUGAAAGUUUGCGGCUCAACCGGAAAAUUGCAAUUGAUACUGGCAGGCUUGAGUAUAGUUGAGGUAGGCGGAAUUCGUGGUGUAGCGGUGAAAUGCUUAGAGAUCACGAAGAACUCCGAUUGCGAAGGCAGCCUACUAAACUGAGACUGACACUGAGGCUCGAAAGUGUGGGUAUCAAACAGGAUUAGAUACCCCUAUAGUC
This 460-nucleotide ribosomal RNA is filed under the name uncultured bacterium. RNAcentral describes it as "partial 16S ribosomal RNA". It matches the Rfam family "Bacterial small subunit ribosomal RNA", at positions 338 to 795 of the family's 1533-position model. The record is from RNAcentral.